UGGCACUAAUGUUCAUUGGUCCAUAAAUAUUACUAUGUAUUAGACCUAGAACUUUACUAGCUCAUUCACCUUUUUCAGUAAAAGAUGACUUAGUCAUCUUUUCAAGAAGACAAGACUCACAGGUUGACAAUAAUUCACAAUCAUUGAUAUUGAGGAUACCCUCUUGUGCAAAUAUGUUUAUCCUACUUUUGUUAAUAUGAUCGAGCCUGCAAUGCCAAAGGUAG
RNAcentral lists this long non-coding RNA (224 nucleotides) under Elaeis guineensis (African oil palm). RNAcentral's name for it is "long non-coding RNA (EGUI_LNC071463)". The record is from RNAcentral. Lineage: Eukaryota; Viridiplantae; Streptophyta; Magnoliopsida; Arecales; Arecaceae.